AGUGAACGCUGGCGGUAGGCCUAACACAUGCAAGUCGAACGGCAGCACAGUAAGAGCUUGCUCUUACGGGUGGCGAGUGGCGGACGGGUGAGGAAUACAUCGGAAUCUACUUUUUCGUGGGGGAUAACGUAGGGAAACUUACGCUAAUACCGCAUACGACCUACGGGUGAAAGCAGGGGAUCUUCGGACCUUGCGCGAUUGAAUGAGCCGAUGUCGGAUUAGCUAGUUGGCGGGGUAAAGGCCCACCAAGGCGACGAUCCGUAGCUGGUCUGAGAGGAUGAUCAGCCACCCUGGAACUGAGACACGGUCCACACUCCUACGGGAGGCAGCAGUGGGGAAUAUUGGACAAUGGGCGCAAGCCUGAUCCAGCCAUACCGCGUGGGUGAAGAAGGCCUUCGGGUUGUAAAGCCCUUUUGUUGGGAAAGAAAAGCAGCAGGUUAAUACCCCGCUGUUCUGACGGUACCCAAAGAAUAAGCACCGGCUAACUUCGUG
This 492-nucleotide ribosomal RNA is filed under the name uncultured bacterium. Its description in RNAcentral is "partial 16S ribosomal RNA". It matches the Rfam family "Bacterial small subunit ribosomal RNA", at positions 29 to 507 of the family's 1533-position model. The record is from RNAcentral.